RNAcentral lists this long non-coding RNA (1529 nucleotides) under Equus caballus (horse). Its description in RNAcentral is "lncRNA (ENSECAG00000047217.1)". The record is from RNAcentral. Lineage: Eukaryota; Metazoa; Chordata; Mammalia; Perissodactyla; Equidae.
UCUUCCUCUAAUUAAUCGUGAUGAUGCCUUGGAAUGGGAGGCACCUGAAGUGAAACGCCAGCUCCCUCCUCAGCACCUUCUGUCUGAUAUAAUCGCAAUGUAUAGUAUAAUGGCUAAUGAAACACUGAAUAAAAUUUAUUAUACUGAAAGAUACAAGCGUGCAUUUAAAAUAAGUGCCUGGGAUUACAUUUUGCUGAAUUCCAAUUUUAAACUCAGCAUUGAAUUUAUGUUUUUUUUGUUCCAAGUAAUGACUGCAUCAGCAAGACACGGAUACUUCGAUUCGUACUAAUCCGUUUCUCUUGGGUGAAAUAUGUUACGAUUUAAAAUUGUUUCCCUCAAACUCACCCAGUCAUUGGCACACAUAAUCUUAGCGGGGUUAAUUCUAAUCAGCUCAGUUCUAGAGAAAGAGUUUUGAGGCUUCAUAAAUCCUUUUUUUUCUUCUAAGAGCUCAUUUUAAAUUAAGUUCAUCUUUGUAUACGUUUGCUAUUAAAAUCUUCUCAGGUUGGUACAGGGUAGAUGUGGAGGGGUGCAGCAAGAGGGUAGCAGAUCCAUUUGCGCUAAGACCUGGACUCACCCGCCGCCUCUCCAACUGGACAGAGUGGGCAGCCGUGACUCAUGGUACGAGUUUUCGCAAAGCAGCGAGCUGUGCAUACUGAUGUGACUUGCACGCCUUUUAGUGCAGGAAACCACCAACACUUCAAAGGAAGGAAUCCUUCUGAUAAGAGGCCAUGAACUCUGGGAAGAUGGCAGCCACCAGUGACAGGAGCCUCAUGGAGGAAAGGAAGAAGGUGCUAGACUCAAAGCCAGAAGAACUGAGUUCCAGCACCUGCUCUGGCCCUUACCAACUCUGUCGGCCGGGGCAGUUGGUCCACCUGUCUAAGGGUGAUGAUACUCCGCUAACACAGUGGGUUUUUUGAGAGAGUCUACUGAAAUCAUUGUGUAUAUGAAGCACUUUUAAAACUGUAAAGUGCCAUCCAAAUGAAAGACGGUAGUACCUCCCUCAGCCUCUGGUAACGUGUAUGUCUACUAAGUGUUAGGAGUGCAAGGACAUGCCCACCUUCCAGCUAAUUGGUGCGGAAAGGCCCUGGGCUUCCCCGCAUAACAAGCUGCAACUGCAUGACCCCAUACCGCCUUUAUUUCUUCUAAUUGCAGCUUUCUGCUUACGCUUCUCUUUACUUACCUGUCGCUGAUCACUGACCACCUUUUUGAAUGAAGAAUGUUCCAGAGUCUUGGCUGGCCCUAGAUGCCACCUUUCAUGUCACCUUGCUCUGCUGCCCCCCCACCCUCAUCCUGCAACACGACAUCAGGUCCCUCUGCAGUUUGCAGGGGUACAGUUUUGGUUCCUGUAGGUUUUCUCUGAGACUGUCUCCCACUGCAUGCUAGGGCUUCUUUCCUCAUGGGGCAACAUGCGACCCAUCUUGGGCAUCCGUGAUCUACAUUUGUCCUGGGGAAUUUUCUGGCAGAGAGAGCUGUGAAAUGCCAUUAGCAUGGUCAGUCCUCAGAAGAGCCCUGCAUUUGGUUGAAUGUGC